This 389-nucleotide ribosomal RNA is filed under the name uncultured bacterium. Its description in RNAcentral is "bacterial SSU rRNA". It matches the Rfam family "Bacterial small subunit ribosomal RNA", at positions 28 to 418 of the family's 1533-position model. The record is from RNAcentral.
GACGAACGCUGGCGGCGUGCUUAACACAUGCAAGUCGAGCGGUAAGGCCCUUUCGGGGGUACACGAGCGGCGAACGGGUGAGUAACACGUGGGUGACCUGCCCUUAGCUCUGGGAUAAGCCUGGGAAACUGGGUCUAAUACCGGAUAUGACUCCAUGACGCAUGUUGUGGGGUGGAAAGCCUUGUGCGGCUAGGGAUGGGCCCGCGGCCUAUCAGCUUGUUGGUGGGGUGAUGGCCUACCAAGGCGACGACGGGUAGCCGGCCUGAGAGGGCGACCGGCCACACUGGGACUGAGACACGGCCCAGACUCCUACGGGAGGCAGCAGGUGGGGAAUCUUGCGCAAUGGGCGAAAGCCUGACGCAGCGACGCCGCGUGGGGAUGACGGCCUC